This 237-nucleotide ribosomal RNA is filed under the name uncultured bacterium. Its description in RNAcentral is "partial 16S ribosomal RNA". It matches the Rfam family "Bacterial small subunit ribosomal RNA", at positions 96 to 334 of the family's 1533-position model. The record is from RNAcentral.
CGGCGGACGGGUGAGUAACGCGUGGAUAACCUGCCUCACACAGGGGAUAACAGUUAGAAAUGACUGUUAAUACCGCAUAAGCGCACGGUACCGCAUGGUACAGUGUGAAAAACUCCGGUGGUGUGAGAUGGAUCCGCGUCUGAUUAGGUAGUUGGUGAGGUAACGGCCCACCAAGCCGACGAUCAGUAGCCGACCUGAGAGGGUGACCGGCCACAUUGGGACUGAGACACGGCCCAA